UUAAAUUGAAGAGUUUGAUCAUGGCUCAGAUUGAACGCUGGCGGCAGGCCUAACACAUGCAAGUCGAACGGUAACAGGAAACAGCUUGCUGUUUCGCUGACGAGUGGCGGACGGGUGAGUAAUGUCUGGGAAACUGCCUGAUGGAGGGGGAUAACUACUGGAAACGGUAGCUAAUACCGCAUAACGUCGCAAGACCAAAGAGGGGGACCUUCGGGCCUCUUGCCAUCGGAUGUGCCCAGAUGGGAUUAGCUUGUUGGUGGGGUAAUGGCUCACCAAGGCGACGAUCCCUAGCUGGUCUGAGAGGAUGACCAGCCACACUGGAACUGAGACACGGUCCAGACUCCUACGGGAGGCAGCAGUGGGGAAUAUUGCACAAUGGGCGCAAGCCUGAUGCAGCCAUGCCGCGUGUAUGAAGAAGGCCUUCGGGUUGUAAAGUACUUUCAGCGGGGAGGAAGGGAGUAAAGUUAAUACCUUUGCUCAUUGACGUUACCCGCAGAAGAAGCACCGGCUAACUCCGUGCCAGCAGCCGCGGUAAUACGGAGGGUGCAAGCGUUAAUCGGAAUUACUGGGCGUAAAGCGCACGCAGGCGGUUUGUUAAGUCAGAUGUGAAAUCCCCGGGCUCAACCUGGGAACUGCAUCUGAUACUGGCAAGCUUGAGUCUCGUAGAGGGGGGUAGAAUUCCAGGUGUAGCGGUGAAAUGCGUAGAGAUCUGGAGGAAUACCGGUGGCGAAGGCGGCCCCCUGGACGAAGACUGACGCUCAGGUGCGAAAGCGUGGGGAGCAAACAGGAUUAGAUACCCUGGUAGUCCACGCCGUAAACGAUGUCGACUUGGAGGUUGUGCCCUUGAGGCGUGGCUUCCGGAGCUAACGCGUUAAGUCGACCGCCUGGGGAGUACGGCCGCAAGGUUAAAACUCAAAUGAAUUGACGGGGGCCCGCACAAGCGGUGGAGCAUGUGGUUUAAUUCGAUGCAACGCGAAGAACCUUACCUGGUCUUGACAUCCACGGAAGUUUUCAGAGAUGAGAAUGUGCCUUCGGGAACCGUGAGACAGGUGCUGCAUGGCUGUCGUCAGCUCGUGUUGUGAAAUGUUGGGUUAAGUCCCGCAACGAGCGCAACCCUUAUCCUUUGUUGCCAGCGGUCCGGCCGGGAACUCAAAGGAGACUGCCAGUGAUAAACUGGAGGAAGGUGGGGAUGACGUCAAGUCAUCAUGGCCCUUACGACCAGGGCUACACACGUGCUACAAUGGCGCAUACAAAGAGAAGCGACCUCGCGAGAGCAAGCGGACCUCAUAAAGUGCGUCGUAGUCCGGAUUGGAGUCUGCAACUCGACUCCAUGAAGUCGGAAUCGCUAGUAAUCGUGGAUCAGAAUGCCACGGUGAAUACGUUCCCGGGCCUUGUACACACCGCCCGUCACACCAUGGGAGUGGGUUGCAAAAGAAGUAGGUAGCUUAACCUUCGGGAGGGCGCUUACCACUUUGUGAUUCAUGACUGGGGUGAAGUCGUAACAAGGUAACCGUAGGGGAACCUGCGGUUGGAUCACCUCCUUACCUUAAAGAAGC
This 1556-nucleotide ribosomal RNA is filed under the name Escherichia coli. RNAcentral's name for it is "bacterial SSU rRNA". It matches the Rfam family "Bacterial small subunit ribosomal RNA". Lineage: Bacteria; Pseudomonadati; Pseudomonadota; Gammaproteobacteria; Enterobacterales; Enterobacteriaceae. The record is from RNAcentral.